This 578-nucleotide ribosomal RNA is filed under the name uncultured bacterium. Its description in RNAcentral is "bacterial SSU rRNA". It matches the Rfam family "Bacterial small subunit ribosomal RNA", at positions 663 to 1244 of the family's 1533-position model. The record is from RNAcentral.
GGAAUUCCUGGUGUAGCGGUGGAAUGCGCAGAUAUCAGGAGGAACACCGAUGGCGAAGGCAGGUCUCUGGGCCAAUACUGACACUGAGGAGCGAAAGCGUGGGGAGCGAACAGGAUUAGAUACCCUGGUAGUCCACGCCGUAAACGGUGGGCGCUAGUUGUGCGAACCUUCCACGGUUUGUGCGACGCAGCUAACGCAUUAAGCGCCCCGCCUGGGGAGUACGAUCGCAAGAUUAAAACUCAAAGGAAUUGGCGGGGCCCCGCACAAGCAGCGGAGCAUGCGGCUUAAUUCGACGCAACGCGAAGAACCUUACCAAGGCUUGACAUAUACAGGAAUAUGGCAGAGAUGUCAUAGCCGCAAGGUCUGUAUACAGGUGGUGCAUGGUUGUCGUCAGCUCGUGUCGUGAGAUGUUGGGUUAAGUCCCGCAACGAGCGCAACCCUCGUUCUGUGUUGCCAGCAUUUAGUUGGGGACUCACAGGAGACUGCCGGGGUUAACUCGGAGGAAGGUGGGGAUGACGUCAAAUCAUCAUGCCCCUUAUGUCUUGGGCUGCACGCAUGCUACAAUGGCUGGUACAAAC